Bifidobacterium breve is the source of this 117-nucleotide ribosomal RNA. The record is from Rfam. Lineage: Bacteria; Bacillati; Actinomycetota; Actinomycetes; Bifidobacteriales; Bifidobacteriaceae.
UGCGGCGGCCAUGGCCCAGGUGAGACGCCCGGUCCCAUUCCGAACCCGGAAGCUAAGGCCUGGCACGGCGAUGGUACUGCACCCGACAGGGUGUGGGAGAGUAGCACGCCGCCGCAC